GGCUGGUGUGAAGAGGGGGUGCGGCCAUCUCCAGGCCCCACAGCAGCCGCCUCCCUGCUCAGCCCAGACCUGGUUUGCAUCAGGGAGAGGGCGGAGUUUGGCUGUCACAGGAAGAGUCCCUCCCAAGGGGACAUCUGGCAUGGGUGCCCGCCUGGCUGCCUGUCUUCCGGCCCCGACCUCAUGGUGUGGGAGCCGCUGCCUUGGCCGGCCCACUUGGGAACUCCUUCCCCAGGCGCCUGAAGCUGGCCCAGUUUGACUAUGGGAGGAAGUGCGAGGAGAUCGCUGAGCUGACGAAGGGCAUGUCGGCCCGGGAGAUCGCACAGCUGGCUCAGUCCUGGCAGGACACGGCGUAUGCCUCCGAGGAUGGGGUCCUCACCGAGGCCAUGUUGGAUGCCCAUGUUGAAGACUUUGUCGAGCAGCACCAGAAGAAAAUGCGCUGGCUGAAGAGGGAGGGCCUGUCCUCAUGGACCAGCACCCCUUAACCUGAGUCCGCGGUGAGACCACACGUCACGGAGCCUGGCUGCGGACCCCUCCCACCCCUGCUUUUCCGGUCCCUGCACGUUUAGGAAAUGCUUCCCCUAAUAAACUCCCACAGGUGCCACA
Macaca mulatta (Rhesus monkey) is the source of this 603-nucleotide non-coding RNA. The record is from RefSeq and is a predicted model, not a curated record. Lineage: Eukaryota; Metazoa; Chordata; Mammalia; Primates; Cercopithecidae.